Cornus florida is the source of this 1775-nucleotide long non-coding RNA. RefSeq lists it as uncharacterized. Lineage: Eukaryota; Viridiplantae; Streptophyta; Magnoliopsida; Cornales; Cornaceae. The transcript is spliced from 4 exons. The record is from RefSeq and is a predicted model, not a curated record.
CGAAUUAUUUCAGCCUCCCCAACCUCGCGUCCAUCUCUACUGUCGUUCUCAACUCUGAACUUGCCCCUCCUCUAUCUCUCUCUCUGCAACUGUACAAGAAUCAAAAGUUCAAAACCCAUAUAUUUCAGUUUGUAUAUCUGUCUGCAAGAAUCAAAAGUUCAAAACCCAUAUCGGCAUAUCAUUUCAGAUUUCGCAAGCUUCAGCCGCUGUCUCUCAACUCUCAAGCUUUCCUCCCUCUCUCUGUAACUGCUAACUUGAACUGAGUUGAUACAAAAAUGCCAAGGGUAAUUCCCAUGCUUGGUUGCUGGCUGGAAAGUGCUAAAAUUUACUGUCCAUGUUCUAUAUUGUCUUUUGCAGGGCAGUGGAAGUGUGUGGUGGGAGGCAGAAGAAACACCAGAAGGUUAUGAGUGCUAUGAAAAUGGAAUCGGCAAUUUUACCGGAAAACCUGUGAAGAUAUCAGUUACUAGCUACAAAGAACAUGAUAAGCUCACAGCCGAAAAAGUAAUGUAAAAAAUAAGUUGCUACGACAAUCCGAAUAUUGCAAAGAUCAAGUACCAUAAAUUCGAAGAGGGGGUAACAACACUAGUCUUGGAUCGCUUGGGAGCAAGUUUUAUUCGUUGGGUUUGGGAUAAUGAACCCAAUUUGGCUCUAUGGCAUAUUGACAGUGGCAUUAUGAUUCGUCCGGAAAAAGACUUUUUGAGUGUGUUCAAGGGAAUUAUAGAAGGACUGGACGAUUGCAUUCAAAAUGAUAGCUUUCAUGGAAAUUUGUUCCAUGGUGUUACGGUGAUGGAAAACAAUAUGGUCAAAUUAUUCUGGCCUGGUGAAUUCGAGCUAGGAUUUGUAGAAGGUGUUCGAAAAGACCUUCUAGAGUUAAGAGGCUUAGUAGGCUUUACAGUGGGUGCAGUCAAACGUAAGAAAUCUUUGCUGGAGGCUAUUGCAGAUAAAAGAGGUUGGGGUAGCUGUCUCUCCCUUUUUUGGGAGACAAUGACCGAGAGACUUCCAGAGUGUAACUCGCAUGAAAAAAUGAAAAAUUUCUAGUUUUUUGUUAAAAACGAUCCCCUCUUUUGGGAUGCCAAUGGAUGCUACAAAUUGAUGUGGAAGUGUUGGGACAUGCGUGUUAUGUGGCCUGUGUUUGAGGAAGUAGAAUUUAACGUGCCUCCAACCGUGAUGAAAAAAUGGGACUGCAAAAUUGACAAUUCAAGUUGUUUGCGUAGUAUUUUUUGGAUUGGAGAUGCAGAGAAUGCGGCUGGACAGUUGAGCUUUAAGUUUAACACAGGUUCUCAGGGACACGAGAAAGAGGUAUGCUCUUUUUUUUUUUAUUAAACAUUAUGGGUAAUUUUUUUGGACAGAUGUAUCCAACAAAGCUACACGCUGAAGUAUGGAAAGAAUUGCUCUUACAGCUACCGGAUUUUGCUCCAUUGUAUUAUUAUCGUCUAGUGCAGCUGAUUUACUCGAAAGCGGCUACUGGCGAAAUUGACAUUGGUAAUCUGAUUCACUGUUUGAAGGAAAGCCCGUACAAGUUCAAAUGAAUUCAAGGCUUCAACGCCAAGUUUGAUGAUGCCUCCUCUCUCUCUCUCUCUCUCUCUCUCUCUCUCUCUCUCUCUCUAUAUAUAUAUAUAUAUAUAUAUAUAUAUAUAUAUAUAUACACGCAGAAUUUCCAAAGACUAGUAUUUCAUAUUCGGUGCAAAUGUUUUGUGAUAACUAAAUCAUAAGUGUGACUUAUUCUUUUAAGUAUGUCUCCUUUUUUUGAAUGGUUGAAAAUUUACUACCACCAA